AAGCUACCUUUGUUGGGCCAGGAGGAAUUAAUGAAGUAUAUCAGCUUUCUAUCCUUAAACUAACUUUUUGGAUUUUAGGCUUUGUGAUACUUUAAGUGUGUUGAGUAUACUCUCGUAAAGAGAAUUUGUGUCAUAUUUCUGUCUCUGCCUAAUUUCUCCAAAAUUUGUAAACUAUUUGUGAAUAUUCUUAAUUUAUGACAAUGUGUUUGUUUGCAUACAGUCAAGCAGGGUCAUUAGGGCUACUCAGGGAGAGAGAACCCAGAAAACUAGCAUGCUGGCAAAACGGACAAAGAGAAGUGGAAAACAGGUCUGUUACGUGCACUUAUGGGGUGUACUCUUAUUUGUGAAGAACUUUGCAGCCAGCCUUAUACAUGGAUAAGCUUACACUUUGAUAGAUAAAAGACGAAGGCCCAAUGUAGAGACCAUCGACAUUCAGAUGACCAUGCAACAAAGGUUCCAGCCAGUUCCAGAUGAAGACACCACCCCUGGCCAUCAAGAAGCUAACCCGCCUCCACCAGACAGAGCAGGGUGAGAGUUUCGUGAUCCCUAAUAGGAAGAGACUACGCCCGAAGCCAGCAUGAAGCAGUUACAGAAAAAAGACUAUCGGUUCCUCUGCCUCCCAUAAAGAUUUAUGGGAAUGACAUCUCUCAGUGGGGAAUGGGCAGGAAAAUAGGGUCUGGAGGCAAGGAACUUAAGGUCCAUAAAUAAUUUAGCUAUGUCAAGAAAUAUCCUCUCCACAAGGCGUACGCCGAGUAAAUGACUUUGUAACUUUACUUCAUCCUCU
Molecule: long non-coding RNA, 784 nt
Filed under: Homo sapiens (human)
Lineage: Eukaryota; Metazoa; Chordata; Mammalia; Primates; Hominidae
Description: HSALNT0375992
Source: RNAcentral